UGUCAGAUUUUAUGAAAGUUUCAUUUCAUUUCGUUUCUCUUCGAAAUGAAAUAAAAUAUUUAAAAAAAAGAAAAAUAUUUCCAAAACAAUUUUUCAUCACAUUUCAACAUUGCUACCUUUCGGAAUUCCAUCAACGCUCUUACAAUGUAUUAAAUGAUAUCCAUCUUCUUCCUGCGGCCAUGGCGAAACUUUUCCAACUCAAUUUGUUGCAACCACAAUACUUUGGCAUAGGGUAUUAAAAGUGUGCUACUGGCAGUUGUGGCAAUACAGCGGUCAAGAACCAAACCGAGCGAACCGACCAACCGACCGACCGACCAAACAGCCAACCAGUGCCAGUCUUCAUUUCAGUCCGGCACAACAAAGGAGAGGCACGAAAGAAGCUGAUAGAGCCGUGGCACUGGGGUAUUUGUAACAUCAAUUCCGAAGAAAUAUUGGCAAAUAAAGAACAAAAGAAAUGGAGCGAAUGCAAGCAAGGCUUACUGCAUUGAAUAUCACCGUUGUUGCCCUGAUAAAUACGCAAGCAAAUUGAAGCUGAAAGCCCGAAUGCUGUUUAAAUAAAGGAAAUGCAAUUACAAGCGACUCAGUAUUUUAACAAAGGCAGAGAGGCGCGGGUUGGCGUUGGAAUAAACAAAUAUUUAAUUGUCAUUGUCUGAUUGUUUGUGUCGCUAGUUUGGGUUUUGAAAUUUGUCAUAGCCAGAGUUACCUAGAGUUACAAUGCAAGGGAUAUUCUUUGUCCAGCUUCGAGCAAACCAAAUAUUAUCAAAUUAUACCACGUUAAUUGUUUGAUUUUAUAUUUUGAAAUAGAUUUACCAUCCAUCCA
This is a long non-coding RNA of Musca domestica (house fly), 820 nucleotides long. RefSeq lists it as uncharacterized. The record is from RefSeq and is a predicted model, not a curated record. NCBI's taxonomy places the organism in Eukaryota, Metazoa, Arthropoda, Insecta, Diptera, Muscidae. The transcript is spliced from 2 exons.